RNAcentral lists this long non-coding RNA (18574 nucleotides) under Gallus gallus (chicken). Lineage: Eukaryota; Metazoa; Chordata; Aves; Galliformes; Phasianidae. The record is from RNAcentral.
AAAGAAAAAAGUGCACUAACUAAUCCUAUGUUUUACUAUCAUGACUUUGCUUAGUGGUGGGUAGUAUCAGAUAUGGAGUCUUGUGGCAAUUGUACAAGAGCAAUAAUUUUAAAGCACAAAAAUAUUAAAGAUUCUUCAAGGACCUAAUAUAGCGAAUGAGUGAAUGUUGAUUUACAGAUCCAAAAUAUGCCCUGGAGUCUUGGAAAGCCUUUUGUUUUGCUUCUCUAUUAGCUACUGAUAGAACAACUGUACUUGGAAAUUACCAUACUAAAUUAUUCACGUAAAAAAAAAAAGGUUAAAAGGUUUUAUUCCAGCACAAGUAAGGAAAACAAAAUAAAAACACAGAACCCUGUUUUAUUCUGAAGAAAGUCUCCAGAAGGGACAUUUUGGAACAAUUAAUCUGGACUAACUCUUCUGAUUAAGUGCAGUGGCUUUUUGUAUUAAAAACUCUUCUUUUUUAACCAAUUAAAAAAAAAAAAAAGACAGAGAGAGAUGGUGAAAAGAACAGGUUGGGUCUUAAAAAGAGCCAAGAUUGACUCAAAUGAGGCAAGGAAGCUGAACAGAAGGGAUCAGAGUAUGUUUGGUCUCUUUCAAAUUCACAGGACAGACAGAAAUCUCAAAGAGAUCUUUCCUUGCAAAUGUCUCUGCAUGGCUUACAGGACAGAAUAUGAGAAUAAUCCAGCACAAGACAGUGGGGACUGAAGAGGAAACCCGAAUCUAUUUACCAUUAAGAAGCCCUGUACUGAACUGACAGGAACAGAAUGUAACACUGCUCCAAAGUCUUGGCAUGCCAGUGUUGCCUUUGUGUAUUUGAAGUAUUUCCACUGGUCUUCGGAGUCCUGUCAUCCACCAAUGUGGAAUCCACAACUCAGAGCUGUGACUAUCCUUUGGAAGGAACAGACAUGACAACCAUCGUCUUAACUGCACUGUGUCAGAGGAACCAUGAGUUUGGCAGCAAUCCAUACCCAGUGCAUGGAGGACCUUCAGAUGAAUUUUUUCUGCUACAGUUUAACUUGCCACGUUUAAUUUGCAAGUAUCAAGGUAAGGAGCCAAGCAAGUUUGCAUUUAUAUUCAAACUCAUUUUCUACCUUAAUAAUUUGUGCAGUUGAUAUGUUUAUAUUUGCUGUAGAACAUCGGGUUUCAUUUCUAAACCUUGCCUUGAGUGCUGGCCAUAAGCCUACCACGAACUUCAAACCAUUUCUCUACAUAAAACAGCAUGCUCUUUUAGGACAUAGGGAAGGAAGAAUAUAACCUUACACCAGUCAGCAGGUGGCUUGCAUUAUUAGUCAACUCUAGCUCCAGCAGAGCUGGAAAACACAGCUGUCCUGCAUAUGCCAUGAAAGCUUGCUUUACUCCGGGACCACAGUACUUGUGUUCAGCUCUCUGUUCUCUCUGUGGCAUUUUUCUGUUUGUCACUGAUUCUGAAAACUGAACUUACAGAAAAGCUUUGUGGUCUCAAAAACCAAUACUUAACUGUGUUCAAAUACUUUUUCAUAGAACAUGCAUUAGAGAACUGGGCUUUUCUGUACUCUGUUAAAUUAUGUGUUUGUUUAUGUGACAUAGCACUAAUCAGAAACUGUUUUUCCCCUUUAGGAAGUUGUGACUUUCUAAAGUGAGGGGAAAAAAUGGAAAUAGUUAUUAGAAAUUGUACUUACAAAUAUCUUCACAGUUCAAUUUGCUAAUUUUUAGUUUGGGUAUUGAGUUAAAAAAAAAAAAACAAAAGUUUAAUUUGAAAAGCAAUCAUACAUGUCAUUUGUCUCAAAUGCAGCACAAACUUAAUGCGGAUGUAUCUGAAUUGUUCAUUUAGUCAGUUUUAAAUCUUAUUUAAAAAAAAAAUACACUGCUGUGAAAUGAUGGAAAUCAUUCUGAUUAUAAUCAGGAGGCUGUCAGCCCUGUAUUUCCAGACAGGCUCAUCACAGCACACAGCCUGUCUUGUGGAAGGAGAACUGUAGCAGCAUGAAGUGGCAGAAGAAAAAAAUAUUUUCUUUGUCAGUUGAGUGUUAUGUAUAGGAGCGGAAUAUGUAUAGAUAGAACUUGCUCCAGCAAUUUUGUGAGAUUUGAAAAAGAACAAUUUCCUAAGGUCUUUCAUGUCUAGACUUGUUUGCUUGUUUGUUGAAUGAAUUUUUUGUUUUAUUGAUAUUAUGAAGGCUGCUACAAAUGUAAUGGUACUGGCUUUAAAGUAAGUUGCAUGAUUGGAGGUUCUGGUUGGAUAUUGGGAAAAAUAUUUCCCAGAGGUGUGAGGCAUUGGAACAGGCUGCUCAUGGAGGUGGAAGAGUUACCGACCCUGGAGCUGUCCAAGAAAAAGGUAGGUGUCCCACUGAGUGACGUGGUGCAGUGGUGAUGGAUUGACAGUUGGACUAUAUGAUCUUAGUGGUCUUUCUAACCUUGAUGAUUCUGUAAUGCUUCCUAUUUAAUGAUGUUGACCUAUGAUAUCAGAGGCAAAUGUUGGUAGUAUGGCAGUAGAAAGGCAUCUAGCAUGGAAGUGCUGAUGAAGCAAAAGGUGUGUCAUUGAAUUCCUCCAGUCGGAGAAAAUGGCACCCUUGACAUUCACUGACACUUGGUGAGUGUUUAUGGAGAUCAAAGAGUGCAUGUGAGCACAGGGAGGUGGUGGCUGGCAUGUUUCUGCAGUGGCAACAGUGGGUCACUUCUGCUAGUGCAAAUUUGUAUGAGUGUGGCAUGCAGGUUCUUGUUCAGUAGCUAUGCAUUUUCACUGGCGGAGGUGCUAUGCUGAAAAACUGUUUUUUAACUGAGACUUUGCCCCAUCAAAUUGUGUUACUGUGCUCUUUGUAGCUGGUGUAUUUUCUGUGGAAAUAAAUAGGAAGCAUUACUUCCUAUCUCUAGGAAGAGAGAUAGAUCUCUCUAGGGAUCUAAGUAGAUCUCUAGUAGAGAUCUAAGGUGCAAUACAUAUUAAAUUAUCUUCCUGUUUUAGAAGAGCAUAUCUCUCUCUAUAGUUAUUGCUUAUCUCAUAUUCUAUCAUAUCAUACGCUUCUAUCUAUUACUUCAAUCAGGUAGUGUUGUUGUGCUGUGUAGUCUUUACAGUGGCCUUUAGCAGACAAAUACAUGCAGACUAGAAUGUGUGUCAGCACAGGCACUUGGUUUCCCCUCUUCCUCAUUCUUGGUUCAGAAUAUAAUGGAUUGGAAAAUGAAGCAUUGCUCUAAACAAACCAUGCUGUGAUGCAGAGCUUUGCAUUUAGUUUCAGCUUGUCCUAUCUCAAAAGCUUACUAGUAACUCUUGAUGAAUAGAGUACAGUGUACAUUUACCUACAAAAAGAUAACUAACGUUCACAAGUAUUUUAAUUGUUAUUUCAAUUUUGCUUCUUUAUCUUCAGUGUGUGUAGGUUAAGGGAAUUCUAAAUUCUUUUUUUUUUUUUUUUGCAUAUUUUUUUGAAGCAGAUAACUACAUUGGCUUAUAACUUUUACUUUGAUAAUGACUGUUGUGACCAGAACAGUUCAACGUACAUUAGCAGAGCAUUUAGAAUAUUUUUAAAUGAAGUAGCCUUCAUAUCUUGCUAUCUGGUGGAACUGCUAUCACAUUGCAAUGGUAUUUUAGAAGUGAUAAGAACCUUGUUCUUGCCCCACCCAGUACAGUUGCUGGCACUUCUAAGUAUUAUACAGAUACCUGUCCUGUAGGGGCAUUUUCUCUUUUAAAAUAAAUGUAAUAGAAGUAGUUUUGGAAUCUCUGUGUACUCAUCUUCAAGACUUUUCUUUCAGGCACAAAGUAGCAUGUUUUUAUGCACCUGUUGUUGUGGAUAUCUUGUCACUUUUCCUGCUGCUGGACAGAAGGGUGGGUGGUAAGGUCUGGAUUUGGAGGACUAGCUUUUUCAUCUUUUUCUGUAUAUUUAUAUCAAGGUGUAUGGAAUUGUUAAAUGUAAGAGUUUCAACUCUGUAGUUACAGUAUCAUAGGAAAGCAGCCAGUGGUAGUAGACACUGGUAGAGAUCAAGUAAGCCACACUCUUAGCUGCAAUAAAUAGAUACAAAAGAAUAUUAGUAGCUUUAGUUAAAAACAAAAAUAACCUACAACAAACAAAACAACACAAAAACAUCAGUAUAUUUACUAGCAGUUACUUGCAAUUAGAGUAUAUAAUAGAUAUAUAUGAUAUAUAUCUAUAUAUGAUAUAUAUAUAGAUAGAUAGAUAUCAUAGAUAUAUAUGAUAUAUAACAUAUAGAAAGAUAUGUUUAAAGAGCGUUUGGAUGUUGUGUUAAGGGACAUGGUUUAGUGGGAACCAUUGCUGAAGGGCGAACGGUUGGACUGGAUGAUCCUGUGUGUCUUUUCCAACCUUAGCAAUUCUAUGAUUCUAUAUUACAGCUAUUCAUGCAAGCUAGAAUUCUAUCAACUGGAUUGAACUAUUAAGUUAUAACUAGAAUAAGCUAUGCAUACUGCAUCAUAGUUCUUUUGAGCUAAAAUUGAUAUUUUUAACCCCCUUUCUGUCAGGUUAUUACUUUCCAUUUGAAAACAAGGAUAAGAGGACACGAUUAAAGGCUUUACUGGAAGAGUUGCCAACUUUAUAUUCCUGUUCCCCCCUCCAAUUGCUUUGUGUGCCAUUUUAGUUUUUUAAUCAUCUAGUAUAACAAAGGAACUAUAAAUAUGAGUCUAUUAGUAAACAAAACUCUGAAUUUAGGCUAAAUGUGAUACUGAAUUCCUUUCCAAAGCUCUUUGCUAACAGCAAAGAGGCGAGAUAUUUGUUUGCCCAUCUAAGACUUUUAUCAUGUCUAGAUGCAAAUUUCCUGUAAACCUUUAAAAAGAAGUCUGCUGAAGGAGAGAUGUGCCUGCACUUCAGUAUGAGCCGUACCUUCAGUUCAUCCAAAUGUGAAAUCUGAGAGUAUUUGGAAAUGGAAAACAAUGGAGACAGUUCAUAUGUUACGUAAAACUUUUUGCUUGGGUUUUUAACAGCCAGGGUGAAAACUUAUUUGAAUAAGUAAGUUAAUAAAUUCUUGAAGCAGUUGUGCUUACCAGGUAAACCAGAUAACUUUAUACAGGUUAAGUUUCAUGGGAUUUACUUAAGGUCAUGCAUAAGGAACACCCACCUUCAGUUUCUGAUGACUCAUCAUGUUCACCAGGAUUCCUGUAGGUUUCACUUGGAAAUAGAUGGCCAAAUGUAAUGUUUACUGUAGUUAGAAAUGUACUUAACCCAGUUAACUUAUAAAACUCAUGACAUGCAGCAAUGUAGGUGGAGACCUGAGAUGACCCAGUGUGACUGCUUCCUUCCAUACUAGAACUGCUAUGCUGCUAUGCUGCUAAGGCUGGUGCCCAUGCUGAGGUGUAACAAGGUGAGUAGUAACUUAAUUCAGGUUGCAGUAUGAAUGUUCAUGUACUUUGGCAUUCCUUGUACCUAUAUUUCAGUGGUUUGAUCAUCAGCUGAUAAGUUUAGCAAUUACACACUGGUAACCAAUGGUGUACAAGUUCGCUAUUUUUGCUUACUCAAGAAACACAUAGGACUGAAAACAUGCAUGCCAUUCAUACUACUGUACAGACACCAUCAAACCUAUGUGAAGGAAAAAAAAAAUAACACAAAAAACAAACAAGUCAACCAAAAACAUCAUUAAUUCCUUCUAUGACUUGCCUUGUUGCUGGUCUUGAUGGAACAAAACAGCUUCUGCACAGCUAAGUGAUUUGGACCUUAUUUGGUUGGGGUUUAGUUGAAUGCCAAUGGAAUGAAAAGAUGCAGUCAUGUUAAUCUCUACUCUGCUUAUGAUGGAAUAUAAUUCUUUUGCCCCCACUAAAUAUUAAGUUUUUUACUAAAGAACUUUAAGAGCAGCCAUCUUGUACUGACAUCAGUGCAAGCUUACUCAAGAAAAGCAGUACUGUACUGUACAUUAAAAGGAAAAUUUUAAACACCAAGUAAACAAACAAACACUAAAUAAUUAUUAGGAACUCCUUGUAAUGGCUUUUUCCCUGAGUUAACACUUAACACAUAGUUAAAGGCAUCAGUGAAAGCAUAUUUCCAUAUUUAAAUGUAUACAUCAAAGUUAUUUCCACAGUAGAACAUUACAUCUCUAUAAAUGAAGUAAUAUUUUAUUGAACGCAAACAUACUAUUUCUUUCUGCAAAUAAAAUGCAUGAUGACACAUAGGAAAGAAUUGAAAAUAAGGCACAACCAAAAAAUAACUUUUCACAUUUUUUUUCUAUUUCAUCCUUAGUGGAACAAUAAAUACAGUGGCAUAGCUUCUAUUGAUCUUAUUUACAGAGUACAAUACUUGAAUGUUACUGGGUUUCCAGCCCAAAUGUUUCAUGAUGUGAGCAGGAGUAUGUGUUGCAGCAUUUCUACAGCCAAGCACUCUAGGAGAUAAUCACAAAGAAAAAAGAAAAAUACAUAGAAUAGAUGGUAACAUUUAAAUAUAAUAAUAAUGAACUGAGGGAACCCUGCAGCAGAGAAUAAAUUUGAGGCAUUUACUAAUUGAUGACAAUAGCAUUAAAAAUACACAUUCCCUUUAAUAUAUAUAACUAACAUUCUAGUAUACUAAAUGUAAGACAAGCAUUUCAGUAGCCCCCUUCAAAGUGAUACAGUAAAUGUUCACUAAAUAACAAAAGAGCAAAGAACAAGAAUAGAUAACUGUCUGCCUGUUGAAAAGAACCUCACAGCCCCCCAAAGUUUUCUUACAUUCCAGACAGUACAGGCAAUGACUACAGUAUUCCUAAAAGUAGAAAAUAAUCCGCAAGAAGAAAUCUCCGUGUAAAGAUUUGAUUUUAAUUUAUAGUGACAAAGAAAAAGAAUAAUAAAUUAAGAAACAGACUCUACUCUUAGCUAUAUAGGAACUGAAAAAGGUGAGGUAGGAAGACAAAAUAGGGAAAUUGUUUUCCAAUGCAAAAUCGAAGCUCACGAGGACAAGGGAGCGUGCCUCUCCCUGUACAGCCACAAACCUUUUUUUUUUUUUUGCAUAUCUAGCUCAAUGCGUUUCCUUUUCAAAAUUGCUUGUAGAAGCAGGAUAGGUUCUGUGGAAAAGCAGUCUCCUCCCGUAAAUUACUGUUACAAGCCUCUCUCAACAGAGGACAGUGAGCUAUUUGCAUCUAGUAUGUCAUAUUAGAAGACACAAAUUUGCAGGUUAAUUAAAUUUUAACUGCCUAGCUGAGAAGUAAACUGAAUUCAAAAUCUAAUAUCAUAUUCUCAGCUGUUAAAUGUUUUAAUUGUAACAACCCACCAGGUACCAUUGAAAUAAUUGUCAUAUAAUUUGCCGUACAGGACUGUGAAGCACUUUCCAAUAGACAAGCAUCUGCAAAGGCUUUGAUUCUCAGCUAGUACCCACUGAUUCUAAACUUGGAACUCAAAGGUUUAUACCAGUUGAUGAUCUGUUCCCACAUGUAUGCAAAGCUGCUAUACCAGAGCAGGGAUUUCCUGCACUACUCCUAUUUUCAGAACAUUGCAAAGAUUCUUAAGUAAAAACUUUAAUUAAUUAAUUAAUUUUUAAAAAAGCUUAAUUAAUUAAUUUUUUGAAAAUGAACAAGUUGAGUUGUAACCAACUUCUAAUCAUGUUGGAACAGACACCAUCAUCAGAUGCUGUGAUACAGGAUGUCCAGAUUUCACACUACUGUAGUACAGCACCCAGCUGGUUUUCAUGCGAUUUUCAUCACACAAACAGGUAGCCUUGCAGAAAGCUACUGAAAAAAGUGUUUAGAUGUGAAAGUCAAGUUCUUCAUAUAAAAAAUUAAGUACUUAGAACUGAAGUGGUUUCAGAAAAAACUGUCUUUCAGUUUUUUGACCUGCUUACCUGAUGCACAUGAUCGUUACAAUCAUUGAUAAACUCCACUAUCCACUCUUCUUUUUUUCUCCCCCAACUUUGAAGUAGACUUUUCUGAAAAAUACACCUCUAAAACAUUUUUCUACUUCUGAGCUUUUUAGAAAGACUUAUACAAAUUCAUCUCUUAUACUUGAGCAUUUUGUUUCGCUUAAUAUAACUAUUUCUUUUAAGCGUAAAGAUGUACACAGUUUGCUAUACACAUUUUUUCAAUACCUUCUCCACAACCUUCUCAUUUUUCAGUGAGACCUUUAUGAACCAGUACAGCCAAAAGAAACAACUUCCUUAAAAAGAACUAUUCUGAAUCAAGCACCUCUCAAAUAAUAUUAAAAUUCCUAAACCUUAAAGUUUUCUAAGACAAACCCUAUAUUUGAUAUUCAAUACCCCACCCCCCAAAAAAUAACAAAAAAAAAAAAGAAAAAAAAAAGAAAAAACAAACAAACAAAAAACCCAAAUUUGCUUGUUUUGCUUAAUUUGCUUGAUUAAUCUACCUCGCACAGACACUGGCUUCACAGAUAGCAAAUCAUUUGCACUGUGCUCAGUCUAGACUGCUUUUCUCUGACUAAACAAGUCACAGAUCAAAACAUUGUCCCCAAAACAAAGGAAUAAAGCAUAUUGGCCAUGGGAAUACUUAAAAGAAAAACAAAACACAACAUGGCUACAACAAAAUCUGUACAUGAUUUUUCCCAGCCAAGUAAAGUGCUUAAGCACACAGUGAAGUUCCAUCAGCUUGAAUUAAUAUCCAGAUGGAUUUAUAGGUAUACAGGUUACUAUUCUUUCUGUACUCUUUCUUACUUUUCAGUAAGGCUUCAUUACUGAUCUCAUCUGCAUUCAUAAGCUUGAGGAGGAGGAGACACUCCUGUGUAUGUGAAAACAAGUUUAAAUAAAAUUGUUCAAGGCUUGCUGUAAACUGUUAUGCUGCAAUACACAAGUAAAUAGAAUUGUAGACUUGUACUAGCAUCUCUGCUGCUUCGUUAAAAAUAGUCUGUGGUUUUUUGUUUUACAAUCAAAUGCUGGACAUAAAAUAAACCUGGACAUUCUGCUGUAACUAUUGCACCUAUUUUAACUAUUUUCCCUUGUUCAGCUUUAAGUUUGAUUAAGACAACACAGUAUGGUAUUUACACCCUAUUUUUCUAUGGGCAAAUGAAAUGGCUUCAGUACAACCCAGUCUUCAUAGAAACUUCCAAGAAAAUAUGAAAUCCUUCAUUCAUUGAUUCCCUUGGUACAAAAAAUUGCCAACUUUGUCUACAUAGUAGAAACUGAAGAGGCAACGUUUGUAUGCUUAUGUAAAUGCACAUACAUAUAUAGCUAAGUAGAUAGAUAUAUGUAUGGAUGUCCAUACUCUAUUAAUAGACAAACACAAACACAUGUAUAUAUACAUACAAAAAUGUGUUGGUUCAGUUUGCAUCAUUCAGGAGAAAAUCAUACUCCCAAGUUAGAUAGAAUCUUCUGGCCGUUAAGUCAUCAAAUCAAACUUCGAGUUCAUAAACUGUGAGGGUGAACACUGGCAUAUGCAGAGUCUUUUCAGUCAAUCAUAUAGCUUUUCAUUUUUUAGAACUACACUGUCAUGUCAUGAUAGCCCUUGCCAUUUAAAUGUUCGCUGGUGCAGUCGUGAUUGUAGUUGUAGCCUGGACCAUCACUGAUUGUCGAUACUGUAUAGGAAACAGUGCGCAUAGCAUCUGAGUGGCUGAAGCUGUGCUCAAACUGGAUUUUGUACUGAUUCCAGUGUCUUCGCAAAACAGCUUGGACCUAUGACAGGAAACAAAAACAACUGCACAUAAAACAUGUGGAAAGAUAUGUCAGACUUAAUUAUUUGACAAAUGAAUGCCAUAAUAAAUGUCUCAGUAAAUUAGGUAGUAAGGCUCAAUAAUCCUGGGUACUUAGAUGUCACAUGAGAUAUUUUCAAAGAAUUAAAAUGUAAAUAGGCAUUAUUUGUGCUUUUCACACCAAAUUUGCUAGCUUAUAGAAGGAGUAGCAGCAACAUAAUUUUCUACUUUUUCCCCUGUGGGUUGAAGUGAAAUGUGGACGGACCAGAUUUACAGUUACAAAAAGAUCAUUUCUAUUCAUCCUUAUAUUAAGGAUACAACUGUAGCAACCAUAAAUUCUCAUACAGUCCAGAAACCAUAAACAAUUUCUGCUAGUUCUGAUACAAGAAAACCUUUAUUAAUUUCUGACCACUAUUUCAUCAAAUGACUAGAAAGACAAUUUCCUGAACACUGCAUUUCUACCAGAGUUAAAAAUAAUGAUGAUAAAAUAGCUCAAGGCCCCAGCUUGUUUACAUGUCUCCACAGAAAGGAUGUUAUGUUUAUCCUGGACUUCCUCUCCUACAUUCUGCUUAAACACCUGCGCAUGUGUGACAGAUGAAGUGUCACAUUAAUUAAAUUCACAUGGGAUCAGUUUUGAGUCAAGAUGCCAAGCAAGGAAUGCUAAGAAUGGCAAUUACUACUGUGGUUUUAUUCAAAAUAUCUUUUUUGUAGUACCGGUUUUUCAAAUGAUUUCCUCUUCAGCAAAACUUUGUGCCCGAUGGCCAGCAACACUGAGAAUCUUUCCUGCAUGGAUUAGCGAAGUACUGCCUUGUAUGAAAUGCCAGCCGGAAGAUGACACUUAAAUUUAUCCAGCAGUCUACCCUAAAUCACUGGUCUCAUCAUAAAAUCAUGCCUGUUUAUUUUUUUUAAACACACAAAAUAACUAGCCUUCCCCCACUUCAAUAUUGACAUUGCAGUGGGUAAUAACUGUGUUUUCUUCACAUUUCUAUAACACGAUGGCUUUUUUUUCUAAGUUUAUUUUGUCUUUCUUUAAAUAUGAAAAGUAAAUAGAUGAGAAGGGAUGUACAUUUUAGACUUCCUGCAUGCAGUACUGACUUCUUAUCUGUCAAAACUGAUAACAAAAUAUGAAGUAUCAAAUCAGUUACAUAAGAAAUCAGUAUUUUAGUGCAAAAGAGAUACUUUUCUCCUAUGUUCAGAAAGCUAUUUUAAUCCCUUUAAAAUGUCUGAACAGAAAAUUGCCCUCCUCUGGACCCGCUCCACGUCUUUCCUGUGCUGGAGUCCUCAGGCCUGGAUAAAGCACUCCAGAUGGGGGCUCAUGAGGGGAGAGCAGAGGGGGACAAUGGGCCACCCUGCUGCUACCCCUCCUUUGAUGCAGCCCAGGAGCCUUCUGGGCUGCAAGAGCACCAGUCCAAAGACAGACCACUAAGGGACUCCACUCAUGCCUGGCCUCUACCCGACAACAACCAUCCAACAAGUUCUUUAUCCACCUAAUAAUGCAGCCUUCAAAUCUCUCUCUCUCCAGUUAAGAGAUAAGAACAUAGUGCAGGACCAUGUCAAAGGCCUUGCACCAGUCCAGAUAGAUGAUAUCAACUGCCUUUCCUUUGUCCACCACUGUCACCACUCCAUCCCUCAAAAACACAAGAGAAGCAGCAUUCUGAAAAUUCCAAAUUGUCUGAGAAGGAAGCUUAGAAUUUAUUUCUUAAUCGUAUCAGUCAAUCUUUGCAUUUCACUAAGUUCCCAUUUGUUCCAAUUCUUAUCCUUUCCAUAACAAAGUUCCUCAAUAAGAUUAGUGUCUUACUGGAGAAACAAACAAACAAAUAUCAUCAUGAAGAAUGUUCACUUUAGAAAGAAUAGACAAUAGGCACGGGAUGGGAAAACUUGAACAAUUGCAACUAAGUGGCUUAAGCAAAGUCAAAAAACCUAUUUGGCAGAGCUGGAAAAUAAACUAGAAUUGCCAGGUUGCAAACUAAACUUAUGCUGAAGACCCACUCCCACAUUUCCUCAUAGUGGCUUCAGUAAUUUGUCUUAUUUGCAACUUGUAAAUAAUAUUUGUAAAUCAAAUCGUAUCAGUCCCCAUAUCUCAAAAGAACUUUCGGAAUUCCUGCAAAACAAGUGUCUGCUGCCUAUUUCUAGGGUGAAAAUUCUCUGUUCAGUCUACUUUCUCAUCACGGACAAAUUGCUAUAAAUAAUAUUACCCCUAUUGACAAACACACGUUCCUCUAUGCCCUCCCUGGUGCCCAGCACAUCCUCUUGGUGCAUUUCUAACUAAGCCACGUACAUCUGGCAUUCUUCCAAAAGCCUUUCUGUUACUGCUGAGUCAGUAUUUCACCUCUGACCUUCUAUGUGCCUAUUCCUGUAGGGUGCUACAUCCUUUCAUUUAUUAUUACUACCUUCUGUCCAAUCAAUCAUUCAUAGAAGAUGGGAAAAAUCAAUGAGACAGCUAAUUUCCACCACUGUUUAUACUGUUAAACAGCAUGCAGCAUGCACACCUCUACACAUUAUGUGACAACAGAAGAUCUAUUACUCUUUUCCUCAACUUUGAGCAGCUGGACAGGGCUGCAGAUUCAGCUCAGGAUGGGCAGCACUGUGAGAAAAUAUUAACCAAUGUAUUUUUUUUUUUUAAGAAAUUGAUGUCACAAACCUAGUCGCAUGUCUCAUUAAUACAGAUACCAAUUCCAGCUUAAGCAUUCAUACCUCAUCACCUUACUAGUAGUGGCUCCUUCUGAUGAGCUUCAAUGACUUGCACCUUCUUUAACAUGCUAGUACUCUGAUGUUCGGUGAAACACAAAUCAAAUGGAAAAAAAGACAACAACAACAAAAACCCUUGCCUAUUAAGAAAGUUUUUUAUCAUCCUGCAGAACUGAGAUCGUAGCCUUUACUACAUUUCCAUUGACUACUGGAGUGGGGGGAAAAAUACCACUACCAAAACAAAAAAUAACCCCAAAGCCACAAACUUCACAUGGGUGAUAUAAAUCAUAAGUACAUAUUAUGAUCUGUUAAUAGGUCAGUAGGAAUCUUUCUACUUUCUUUUUACAGAGAAAGCUGCUACAAGCUUCUUCCGUUACUGCAGCCUGCAUCACCCUAAAACCAGAACGAAGCCAAUUCCAAUUGGCAAGCAUCAUGAGGUAGUCAAGAAGAAUCAUACUCUGUGGGUGCUAGGACAUAAGCAGAACAUGAGGGUCCUCAGGGAAUUCCUGCCAGAGAAGAUAAAGAUGAAGGGUUUGCAUGUAUGCCCUUAUCUGCUGUAGAAGCUGCAGCGACAGCUGUAAUGGAUGUUGGCACUGGAUUUGACAGAACAUCCCUAGCUGCACUGCCUAAUGGGUUUGGAGGUGUUUUAUGGCUACAGUCAGCAGAGCAUUCCAACACUUUUUUCUUAAAUGUUACUUAGUUUCUUUUCUCUCUGUUAGCAGAUGAUUUUUUAAUUACCUUUUUGGCCAUUGUCUGAAAGGCCUGCAGGCCACUCAUUGAACAGGAUUUAUCUCUUAAAGUUGAUAGGAAACAUUAAAAGCUACAGUAGCAUUUGGGAAAUAGUAUUUAGAUAAAGAAACUAUCACGUUUAGCAUUUUUAAUUGCUAAUACCUCACUGGAAAAUCCAUUUUCUGUUCUCAGUCUGAGUUGAUUCCAGUCUCAGGAUUCAUCUCCAAACCCCAGACUUGCUAUAGAACAUCACACAAGUGUUAACACUGAUGCCAUUUGGUAUGGCACAUAGCAAGGUGUUGCUGACAGAUGCCGACAGAAAAGGUCUUAUACACAACAGCUAAGCCACAGUAUCAGGAUUAGUUAAGGCAUUGUUAUGACAGCAACAUAUGAUAAUGGCAAUAGAACACACAUACGCCUACAGGCUCACAUGCCAGAAGUAAAAUUUUUAAUAUACUAUUUUUUUUCUUUUGUUUUUACCCAGACAUUUUUUCCUAACUGCAUUAUCAUUCUCCCCAUGAGUUUCCUUACUUGUGCAGUUGGUUAUAAAGCAACAGAUCCUCUCCCCAGCAAAGUGUAAUGAAUUGAAAAAAAAGACAAUAUUGAUAACCUGAAGCACUGCAAUCAGAGUUUAAACUUGUUUAAAAAGCCUGAAUUUCUGCUAUACAGAUAGCAAAUGGAAAGAAAUGUGUAACUGACAAAGAAAAGACACAGUCUAAAUAUUUUGUUUAAAUGUCUGAAACCACUUUUUAAAAUUAGCCUGACCAGAGAUGUUCAAGAAAUUGUUCAUCCAUUACCAACUGCAGGAGCUGCGGAGGAGCUCAUCUUAUACACUCAUCAGCCCAGGGAUAUUCUGCUAAUACUCCCUUGGUGAAACAGCUAGGUUUUGCUUUUCUUAUGCAGCAGAAGAGAGCAAUGUAAAAAACGUGAGUUUGUAAAAUGUGGGAAAUGAUCAGAUGAAACAAAAUCAUUACCAGAGGUAGGAUUAAAGUAGCCUCAGAAGACCAAGAGAGAUAAAAGGCAGAACUGAGCAGUGGACAAUAUUGUUUCAUAGAAACUCUGUAGAUUUCAAAUAUUUUUGCCCACAUUUUGCACCAAGACAAAACAAAUUUGACUUUUUUCCAAAUGACUCUUAGAAGGGAAAGAGUGUGUCAAAUAUUUGUUCUGAACAUGGGAAAGUAUCCAAACUGGAUCCAUAAUGCUUAGUGAUAUGUUCUGCUUUGAAUUGAAUAAGCAGAGACUGUAACUUGGAUCAGUUUUACCAUAAAACCAGAUCAAAACCACUGACCCAGACCUUAUAAACUGCCAAAAGAAAUAACUCUUGCUUCGUCUUUUCUGCCUCCUUAGCUAAAAAUAAUAAUAAUAAUAAUGAUAAUCACUGACACUCAUACUUUUCUUGGGAAAAAAAGUAUCUUGAAACCACAUGGAAUAUUCAUUGCAAUUCAGGCAGCUUCAGAUUUAAGAGUAAGAGGAGGAAGCAUGACCUAUUUGUAUCAAAUAUUAGCCAGAUACUUAACAAGCAAAUAUUACUGGUCCAAUAACAUUAUGUAAGAACAGAACAUGAUAAAAGAAAUUAAGGGUUCAGUCCUAUGGAAACAUCUGGUUACCCCCGCACAUCUGCUUACAGCCACAUACUGCAACUGCACUAAAUGCAGAAAAAAUGAACAAACAGAUGUGUUAGAAUAAGGACAGGAUUGUAAUUGUUCCUCUGCCAAAAGUGUUGGAAAAGCCCUACUUCUUUGGUGGGAUCUUUUUAUUCAUUUGUUUUGGUUCUUUUUUCAAGCAAGAAAAUUGCAGUGAGAAAUUUUGUGUGUGUGUAUGCAUAUGUAUUUAGCCUUUCUACCAUGUUUACCUUUAACAUUAAGGCCCUAUAAGUAUAUUCUUAAGUAUAAAGCUUAGUUGACAAGAUCUUAAUCAAUUCAAGUUAACAGAAAAAACUUAUUAGCUGCAAGGAUCAGUUCCAUAUACUAAUGAAACACAGUGCAAUUCUCUGGCACAACGAUAAAGAAGUUAGUUUAAAAAGUACACUUCUUACUCAAGAAAUUUUAACCCAAGCACAACGAGGUAUUAAGUUCUGAGUUCGUAACUAUAUUUUUCAGAUGUGCAAUUUCCUUAAUGGCUAGAAUAUACAAAAUCUGUAUAUACAAAAUAAUACAAUAAAAACUACUACUUUACCUCUCCAUUGAAGAAGCAGAAAAUUGUAGCUACCAGUAGACCCUGUAAAAUUAAGAUAACGUUCCUUAUUUCACAUGCAUGUGGAUUUUUUCAGGUUUGAAAUAAUUAGAGGUUCCUGAUACAAUUCCUAUAUGGACAGCAAACAAAAUAUUCUACAAAUCUAAAAUUUCAUUUCUAAGAAUACUCUACUAAGUAGACCAUGGCACGUUUAUUUCCUUUAGAGAAAAGAAAAUUCAGUAUACUGAGAAAACUGAAGUUUUUUUCCAGGACUAUUGCAUAAAAGUCUUCAUAAACAAAAAUAAGAGGAUAAUUUGUCCUUUAUUUGCUUCAUAUGCCAACAGCUAUUCUAGCUCAAGUAGGCAAAAAAUAUUCAAUUCCUACCUGGUAAUGCAUAAGGAUGUGCAUCACAUACUCAUAGACUUCCUCAGUGAUUCGACCUUCCGGUCGCCAUGGAAACAGCACAAAUUCAAUGCCAAGCAGGGGAACCAGAAUGAGGGUAGCUCGCACUGCUUUCAUGUACAGGUUGGACUCUGCCUUGUGGGUGUCUUUCAGCUUAGUUAUGAGUACACGAACGAUAUUUAACAGGAAGAAAAGAUUCACCUGUUGGAAACGAAAAUGACAGUGAAGCCACUCUGAAAAUAAUCUGCAGACUACUUUGUGACACUAGAAGGCAGACAACUCAAAAAGCCAUGUACUGCAUAGAAAACGUUCUGGUUAUACAAGGGCAAAAGUUAAAACUCUCUGAAAACAUCUUGAAGAGAAUGAGGCUGACUGGGUUCUGACAUCUAAUUCCAGAGCUGCUUCUUCUACCCUUAUAAGCAAGUGUCAACUCAGGUUACUCUUAUCUUCCAGUCUUUACAAUCUGUAUGUCAUUUUCUGUGCUAUUACAGAAAUAGUACAAAUCUGAAUGAUGGUUUAUUAGAGAAGUUUAAACUGCAGCUUCUGAAGAACAGAAUGUCAGUUGCUGUUUUGUAAAAAGAAUGAAUAGAAAUGAACUGCUGGCCAUGACUGAUGCACAGGUAGCUCCUUAUGGAAGACCACACGUGCAAGCCAAUAUACCCAAAGCUCUGACAACCAUUGCAAAGCUGAAGACACUUUCUAUCUUGGUUCCAGUUGCAUAUUUUAAUGGCCCCGUAUGAGCUGUAAUGAUGUUCUUUGAAGAGUUUCUGGGAAAAGCUAAGCGAAGCACAUGGAUAUCACUACAGCGUCUGUAAUCACAGUCUGAUUGAAAUUCGCUCCUAAAAAGUCAGUGAUCCGUUAGCAGUGUAGCACACACAACUUGAGCAGGUCUCUGCAGUUGAGAUCCUUACAGCAAUACAAAAAUCUGUCUCUACAUGGUUUUUCCUUGUCUGUUUAGACCUCAGUGAUCAAUUGGACCCAUCUUAGAAGCUUAAAUUUGAAAACAUAAAAGAUUUCCAUUAUCGAUGUCAUUUUAUUUUAAAAACAAUUGAAGUUAUCUUGGCCCUUCUGGCCAAAGACUUCAAUUCACUUUUACAGUUUUAAAAACAAUAACAUAAACAUAACACAGUCUUAACAUUUCAACAUAAAAAGGGGGGGGGAAAUAUCAUUCUAUUUCAAAGACCUAGGGUAAUAAUCUGAAAGGUCCUGAGCUCCACAGAAGUAAGUGAACUAUAUCAAAUCCUUAAAAUUUUAUUUUGGCAAAAUAAUUUCAGAAAGUCUCGUUUUAUACCUAAGGAAAGAAGGAACUGACCCUUUGGAUUUUAACAUGCUUCUCCAAAAAACUUUUUUUUUUUUUUUUUUUUUUAUGUUUUUCAAAUAUGAAUUUGAAAAAUCUAUAGGGAAGAAAAAGUAAAAGAAAUCUAGUUUCACAAGAAAAAAAAACACCAAAAAACCUGAAAUCACAGCUAUUCAUACUAAAUCUCAUUCAGCAUGUUAACACUCAUUAUUGACAAGAAAAGCAAUAUGUUCACAUAUGUGUGUGUGUAUAUAUAUAUGUACACAUUCAACAGUCUAAGAAUGCAAAUAACAAGAGAAACAGUAACAAUAGGGUUGUAUUUUAAUCCAUCAUGAACCAAUGGCAACCCCCUAGAUAAACUACACUCAAACCACUAAAAAACUAGAGCUAAAAGCACCCUGGAGAGAGCGCAGCCAAUCCAAGCACCUUGCCCAAGGACACAAGAGGCAAGACAAUGCUGUCUAGAUUCCCAUUAUGGAAGAUGAAGAAGUAGAGUAGUUCAUUUAUCUCCUCUUCAGAUAAUUUGUCUUUCUUGUCAACAAUUAUAUAGAGAAAAAAAGGGAAGCAGGGGAAGAAAGAAAUUAUCAGAAAGACAGAGAAGUCCUUUCUACAAUAAAUAAGAGUUCAUGGUAUAGGAAGCCUCUGCCUCUCAGCAGGACAAGUACAAAUAGGGAAGCCAUUCCAGACCAUGUGUGUCACCAUGUCCUCCACAACCCUGGCAGAAUUCCUCUCAUGUCAAUUAAGGUUUUCACGAUAAACAGCUGUGUAUUGUUACAGCAACAUGGCCUUUGACAGACAUGUUAUGUUAUUUAUAUUCUACUUACAUUCUAUUUAAAUCAUUUUAACAGGAAAUUGUUUUACAUAGGAAACUACUGCAUUAAUUUCUUCUGGAAGAUUCCAACUACCUCUUGGCUUUGUUUAAGCAACCAAGGUCUUUUGGUUCUCUCUCAAAGGAUUCAUUAAGAUUUUAUGCAGCCCACGAUUCUCAUCCAACUCCCUAUGUCACACACAGACAAAUCCAUCCUCCAUUUCUAAAUUUAAUCCUUCUCAUUUAAAUUGCUAGUUUAGUAUCAGCCUCUCUCAGAAUUUUCAACCCUCGUGCUUUGGUAGCAUAGCCAAUCCCUAUAAUACUGUCCUUAGAAUGUUAACUGAAGAUGAAAGUAGCAGUAGAUAGAAGUAAAUACUGCUCAGAAAAUUAUUUCAUUUGCAAAAUGCUGAAAUGCACAAAAUAUUUCUGAUUUUCCAUUUACUCACCGAAACAAAAAAAGCAUGAAAACAAACACAUUCAGCAUUUGCAAGUAAAUAUCAGAACAGACAGAAAGGCGAGACAAAACAUAGGAUCCACUUAAGAAGAACAGUAUGAGAGUUAGUAAAAGUACAUAUAACCAAUGUCACAAGCAUAGGGAGCACAAGAAAAUCAAAUUCUUAGUGAAGUGAGUAGGUCUUGAUUUGAGAAAGGCAGAGAGCAGAUCUUUGCAUUCAAGGACAAGUAGGCCAAUGAAACUACCUUAAGAUGGUUUAUCAUCAGAUUGAUUGUGAUGGUUUGCAAAGCCCCAAAGGAGUCCUGUUGUGCCAGCUGCAGCAUGAACACACAGAAAAGUACUGGCAGCUGCACAGUGACAUAAACAUUGUUCCAAGCAAGUGAACAAAGACAGAAACAAAGGCAGGGAAGGGAAUCCUAGAUGAAAUGUUGGAGCCUAUGCUAUGAACUUAGUAGAAUUUAUGUUCCGCCUUCAAAGUGGUUGUGAUGUGCAGUCUCUGUGACCUGCAGUUCCCAAUUUAAAAAUUCC